This is a long non-coding RNA of Apis mellifera (honey bee), 3073 nucleotides long. RefSeq lists it as uncharacterized. Lineage: Eukaryota; Metazoa; Arthropoda; Insecta; Hymenoptera; Apidae. The record is from RefSeq and is a predicted model, not a curated record. The transcript has 2 exons.
UUUAUAUUUCAUUAUUUCAUUUUCAAUGGAGAAGAGUUUGGGAAUAAUGAUAUUUUUGUUAUGCUCGUACUGUGCGUAUUAAUUGCAAAAAUAAUCAGUGUGUGUGUGUAAAUAUUUCUUUUAAUAGUUCUAUGAUUUGAGUUUUUUAACGCGUAAUUUAAUUAAAAAAUUAAACAAUUUUUAAAAAAAAGGAGCGGAGUGUAAUAAUUUUACGUUUUAGUAAUUUCGCUUUUUCCUUAGACGGGGCAUCUUGAGAGAUGUACGUAUAACUAUCCCGUUGAAGCUAUCCUUUUUUUCGCGAUGGAAAACAUAUUUCUGAGUAGACUGUUCGUGAACUAGUGGAGCGGAAAUAGAACACGUGCUGUUCUCUGAUUUAUCGAGCCGAGGGAAUUUCUCUUCAUAUUACGUAUAAUUAUCCCUGGUGGAACAGGGAAUUUAUCCGAGGAAUUCGACUAUUUGUAAUUAAAUUUUGAUGCUAUUAAUCAUUAAUAUGGAGGAAAUUGUUGUACGAAAGAUAGGACGAAUCAUUUGUUAAAAAAUUAAAGGAACAUUUUCGAGAAAUAAUUCGCAGUGCAAUUUACAGUGCAUUAAAGUUUUCGUUUCAAAAAUUUCUUAAAUUUACCCAAUGUAAUAAUUGUUUAAAUUAUCUCUGUGCAAUUGUGACAAUAAUCAUCUCUUUAUUACCAUAUCAUACGCGUCUGCCUAAAAAGGAUAAAAGGAUGAAAGCGUAAUUUCAGCCAGGUACAAAUUCUAAAAAUUCUAAAGAGAAUCAUUUCGUAAUACCAAAAGUAAAACUUACUUUGAUGUUCAAAUUCAUUCCAACGUUUCGUUCAUUUUCAUUACCUUUCUCUCGAUUAAUGAAAAUUUACAUAUAUAUAUAUCUCACAAAAAAUUAUCACGAAGAAACCAUCGAAUCUAUCAAAUAAUCCCAAAAAUUCGAAUAAAUAAUUUUUAAUCGAAACAACCUAACCUUGGAAAAUGAAAAAUUCUCCAAAUAAAUAUUCUCUUAAGAAGAAAAAAAAGAUGAUCGUGUACCGAAUCGAUGGAAAAUGAAAAAUUCUCUUAAGAAGAAAAAAAGAUGUAAAAAAAGAGUAACGAAUCCAUGAAUAAAACAGAUCUGCAAGAGAGAGAUUUCUCGAAAAUUCGAUCCCGAAACUGAGCGUGUCGAAUCGCCGAUUCGUCGAGCGCAUAAAAUACGAGCCGCGACUUGCCUUUCCGUGACCCCGUGACAAAUAUCCCUAGGUAUUUAAUAGAGUAAUCGUGGCACGGGUGGUGUCUUCGUAACGUGUCCAGCGUGGCGGCCGACCCGUUUGUUCCAAUUAGCCGCACUGAUGUUAAAUAAUGUCACGCCAGGGAGACCGGUCGCCCUCCUCCCCCUUCCGUUACAACUCCCAUCGCAGUUGUAAAUUGGAUGAUCCUAUUUCGUUGUAAACUUCAUCUCCGACCUCCGUGGUUGGAGGUCUCGCGUGGCUCACUACGCGGAUCCUCGUUUCCUUCUUUCAAACGGCCAUUGGAAAAUCGAGUAGCCAGCUGGAGAUAAAAAAAAGGAAAAAAGGAAAAGAAAGGAAGAAAGUUCGUUCGUUUUCAUCCCAUCGAUUCGAGAAUUUUCUUAAUUAAAAUGCUCGACCAUGUGUCUCCUCGAUUCGUGCGGACGAAAGAUUUUCUCUUCUAGGGAAUUUUUUUUUUUCCAUUCCAUUAUUGAGACUCGUGAUCUACGAGGUUUUAUAAAAGAUGUUGCAAGUUGUUGGAGGAUGUAUUUUAAAAAUGGGAGUGAGGGGAUAUUCAACGAUUUUAGACGUUGGGUGGAAGGUUAUUGGACGUUAAUUUGAAGGUUGGAGAAAUUGUGGCGAAACAAACUCAUCCAUCAGGGGAUCGUGCCUCUUACAAUUAAUCAUCUUCAAUCUUUGCAGCAGGUUGAACGAUCUGAUUGGUGUCGCCAACUAAUCCUAUCUAUCAUAGUUUCGAGUUAUUAUAUAAAGAUCUUGAUUUUGAUUUCAGUGAUACGUAGUUGGAAAAAGUUGAAAUCUUUUCUUUUAUCGAAAUAAAUUGUUUGUAAAAAUAAAUAAUAAUAACGAUUUCUGUUUCUCUUGUACGUAAAUCGUUAAUAAUUAAUCAUCGAGAGUGUAAUACUGGAUGAGAAUUAGAAGCGGGAAAGUAUUUUAAUAUCGGGUACCUGAAAAGUUUGAUCGGUUUAACAAGGAGGUUUAAUGAUAAACGGGCUGGCAACUCAUUUAAGUGCAUGGAAACAAAAAGACUUGGCUGACUUUCGCAACAAGUUGCAAAAUUGUGUACCGAAGCGUAACGAAGAUUCUAAGAUUAACAGAAUUUACUGGGAUGAGAUGCAUCAUAAAUCCUCUCUACAGGUUUCUGAAGAAAAGCUCGGUUUCCUCACGGUAUUAAGCAUAGCAAGUAAAAGCAUCAAAAGCGCAUUAAUGUUUCCUUCAAUCUCAAUGAUAAUCUUUCGGGGCUGUUUGUACGAGUAAUUUUCGAGUAUUUAUUUAUAAAAGAAAAAAAAAAAAGGAAAAAUAAACAAAGCAAAAUGAACGAAGAUCGCAAGAAAAGAAAGUAUUUUAGACUAAUAUUUUUUAUCAAUUUUAAAUCUUAAAAGGAAAACAAAGAUUUACGUUCGUUUGUGGACCUUUUAAAAAAAUAUCCAAUCAUAUAACAAAAUAUUCUUCUUUCUUUUUACAAUGUUCGAAAAAUCCCUUAAAAUACACGAAUAAAAACAGAAAUCGUUGCGAUGACUCGCAAAAAAAAAAAAAGGGAAAAGCAAACAGCCAUCAUCUCUUGAAACUUUGAAAGAGCGGAUGGGAACAGAAUAGGCAUAUGAAACAAAAAAGUAACCAACCGUAUGACAAAAUACUCUCUAAAAUCCUUAAAUAAUCCUUCGAAAUAGACGAUUCAAAUCGGGGAAAAAAAAAAAAAAAAAGAAAAAGAAAAAAGAGAAACCAGCAACGCUCAAAACAAAGAAAACCGAUCAAAAUAUUCCUAUUUAAUCUUCAAAUUCGAAACGAAAGGAAAUAAUCUUUUCUUUAAAUCUUUCCAAAUCCAAAGGAAAAAAAAAAAAAAAAAA